AGGGAGACAGUGUGACUUUCACUUCUCAUUUCCCCCAUUUGGGUGGAGCCCUCCCUGGGUGAGUUCACUCACUUCCUGCUCAGGGAUCAGCAGCCACGGCAGACCCAGGCUGGGGAGACUGGAAGAAUCAGAGGUCCAGGCAGUGCCCAGGGCAGGACGAUGGCCAGUGGGGGCAGCGACCUCAGCACCAGUGGCUGAACCACUAUAUUCUCCUACCACUAGCUGAUGUGCUAUCUCUCCACACCCAGACUUCACAGAGGUGCUAGAUCAGUGGUUCUCAACCUUCCUAAUGCCGCCAGCCUUUAAUACAGUUCCUCAUGUUGUGGUGACCCCAACCAUAAAAUUACUUUCGUUGCUAUUUCAUAACUGUAAUUUUGCUACUGUUAUGAAUCAUAAUGUAAAUAUCUGAUAUGCAGGAUGUAUUUUCAUUGUUACAAAUUGAAUAUAAUUAAAGCAUAGUGAUUAAUCACGAAAACAAUAUGUAAUUAUAUAUGUGUCUUCUGAUGGUCUUAGGCGACCCCGUGAAAGGGUCAUUCAACCCCCAAAGGGGUCAUGACCCACAGGUUGAGAACCACUGUGCUAGAUAAAGGGAUGCAUCCUAUUCAUUUGCAUUCUCAGAAUACAUGGGCAGUUGAACAUGGUUUUGUGUUUCUUGACCAUUUAAAUUGCCUGGUCUCUCAUUGCUGGUUUAUUUUUGACCAAUGUAAUCAGUUGAGGUGAUUAUCCUUUCUGUAAUGAUACGGGAGAGUUUGCUAUGUAGUUUGAAAUUUAUAAAUAAACUUCUUUAUAAAUAUA
Molecule: long non-coding RNA, 795 nt
Organism: Myotis daubentonii (Daubenton's bat)
Lineage: Eukaryota; Metazoa; Chordata; Mammalia; Chiroptera; Vespertilionidae
Exons: 2
Source: RefSeq, a predicted model, not a curated record